GACGAACGCUGGCGGCGUGGAUUAGGCAUGCAAGUCGAACGGUAGGGAACUUUCGGGUUCCUGAGAGUGGCGAACGGGUGAGUAACACGUAGGUAAUCUACCCUCAAAUCGGGGACAACCCAGGGAAACUUGGGCUAAUACCGGAUGCGUGCGGCACCUAAAUGAUCCUGGUUGGAAUGGGAGAGAUUCUGUUUUAACUGGGUGGGUUAUUUAGGUGCCGUAUAAAAGGUGGCUGGAAACAGCUGUUGUUUGGGGAUGAGCCUGCGCUCUAUUAGUUAGUUGGUGGGGUAAUGGCCUACCAAGGCGAUGAUAGAUAGGCGGCCUUAACGGGUGGUCGCCCACACUGGGAUUGAGAUACGGCCCAGACUCCUACGGGAGGCAGCAGUCGAGAAUAGUCUACAAUGGACGAAAGUCUGAUAGUGCGACGCCGCGUGAACGAGGAAGCCCUUCGGGGUGUAAAGUUCUUUUAUAUGUGAGCAAUGCUUUAUAUGUUGAAUAGCAUAUAGGGAGAGAUAUU
RNAcentral lists this ribosomal RNA (517 nucleotides) under uncultured bacterium. RNAcentral describes it as "bacterial SSU rRNA". It matches the Rfam family "Bacterial small subunit ribosomal RNA", at positions 28 to 484 of the family's 1533-position model. The record is from RNAcentral.